CAAUAGCGUAUAUUAAAGUUGUUGCGGUUAAAAAGCUCGUAGUUGGAGUUCUGCCAGGUGCCGCCUGUCCGCCCCAGUGGUGAGUACGUGGCGCGCAUUUGGCCCUUUCAAGGGGAGCGUAUCUGCACUUUAUUGUGUGGUGCGGGAUCCUUGACUUUUACUUUGAGGAAAUAGGAGUGUUCCAAGCAGGCUCUCGUCGUGCACAGCUCAGCAUGGAAUAAUAGCAUUGGACCUCGAUUCUAAGCUGUUGGUUGCCAGAAGCGAGGUAAUGAUGAAGAGGGAUAGUUGGGGGCAUUCGUAUUUAACUGUCAGAGGUGAAAUUCUUGGAUUUGUUAAAGACGGACUACAGCGAAAGCAUCUGCCAUGGAUGUUUUCAUUGA
RNAcentral lists this ribosomal RNA (380 nucleotides) under uncultured eukaryote. Its description in RNAcentral is "partial 18S ribosomal RNA". It matches the Rfam family "Eukaryotic small subunit ribosomal RNA", at positions 592 to 976 of the family's 1831-position model. The record is from RNAcentral.